RNAcentral lists this ribosomal RNA (675 nucleotides) under Stereum sp. 038 TSG-2012. RNAcentral describes it as "eukaryotic LSU rRNA". It matches the Rfam family "Eukaryotic large subunit ribosomal RNA", at positions 80 to 736 of the family's 3401-position model. The record is from RNAcentral. Lineage: Eukaryota; Fungi; Basidiomycota; Agaricomycetes; Russulales; Stereaceae.
CUAGUAACUGCGAGUGAAGCGGGAAAAGCUCAAAUUUAAAAUCUGGCGGUCUUCUGGCCGUCCGAGUUGUAGUCUGGAGAAGCGUUUUCCGCGUUGGACCGUGUACAAGUUUCCUGGAACGGAGCGUCAUAGAGGGUGAGAAUCCCGUCUUUGACACGGAUCCCAAUGCUUUGUGAUGCGCUCUCAAAGAGUCGAGUUGUUUGGGAAUGCAGCUCAAAAUGGGUGGUGAAUUCCAUCUAAAGCUAAAUAUUGGCGAGAGACCGAUAGCGAACAAGUACCGUGAGGGAAAGAUGAAAAGCACUUUGGAAAGAGAGUUAAACAGUACGUGAAAUUGUUGAAAGGGAAACGCUUGAAGUCAGUCGCGUCGGCCGGGACUCAGCCUUGCAUCCGCUUGGUGUACUUUCCGGUCGACGGGCCAGCAUCAGUUUUGACCGCGAGAUAAAGGCGGAGGGAAUGUGGCUCUCUCGGGAGUGUUAUAGCCUUUCGUCAGAUGUCGCGGUUGGGACUGAGGAACUCAGCACGCCUUUAUGGCCGGGGUUCGCCCACGUACGUGCUUAGGAUGCUGGCGUAAUGGCUUUAAACGACCCGUCUUGAAAACACGGACCAAGGAGUCUAACAUGCCUGCGAGUGUUCGGGUGGGAAAAACCCGUGCGCGCAAUGAAAGUGAAAGUUGGG